RNAcentral lists this transfer RNA (70 nucleotides) under Loxodonta africana (African savanna elephant). It matches the Rfam family "tRNA". Rfam says of the family: Transfer RNA (tRNA) molecules are approximately 80 nucleotides in length. Their secondary structure includes four short double-helical elements and three loops (D, anti-codon, and T loops). Further hydrogen bonds mediate the characteristic L-shaped molecular structure. tRNAs have two regions of fundamental functional importance: the anti-codon, which is responsible for specific mRNA codon recognition, and the 3' end, to which the tRNAs corresponding amino acid is attached (by aminoacyl-tRNA synthetases). tRNAs cope with the degeneracy of the genetic code in two manners: having more than one tRNA (with a specific anti-codon) for a particular amino acid; and 'wobble' base-pairing, i.e. permitting non-standard base-pairing at the 3rd anti-codon position. Lineage: Eukaryota; Metazoa; Chordata; Mammalia; Proboscidea; Elephantidae. The record is from Rfam by way of RNAcentral.
ACAAUGGUGGUUCAGUGGUAGAAUUCUUGCCUUCUAUGUGGGAGACCUGGGUUUGACUCCAGCCAAUGCA